UGAGGAAUCUUCCGCAAUGGGCGAAAGCCUGACGGAGCGACACCGCGUGAGGGAUGACAGCCUUUUGGUUGUAAACCUCUUUUCUGAGUGAAAAAGUUCUGAUGGUACCUCAGGAAUAAGUAGCGACAAACUACGUGCCAGCAGUCGCGGUAAUACGUAGGCUACAAGCGUUAUCCGGAAUUAUUGGGCGUAAAGCGUCCGCAGUCGGUUUGAUAAGUUUGGCGUUAAAGCCCGGGGCCCAACCCCGGAUUCGUGUCGAAAACUGUUAGACUAGAGUGAUGCAGAGGUAAGUGGAAUUCCCGGUGUAGGGGUAAAAUCCGUAGAUAUCGGGAGGAACACCAAAAGCGAAGGCAGCUUACUGGGCAUCUACUGACGAUCAGGGACGAAAGCGUGGGGAUCAAAAAGG
This 406-nucleotide ribosomal RNA is filed under the name uncultured bacterium. RNAcentral's name for it is "partial 16S ribosomal RNA". It matches the Rfam family "Bacterial small subunit ribosomal RNA", at positions 355 to 776 of the family's 1533-position model. The record is from RNAcentral.